UUGGGAUUCCUUUACUCAUGAACAGACCAGAGGUUGGGAUUCCUUUACUCAUGAACAGACCAGAGGUUGGGAUUCCUUUACUCAUGAACAGACCAGAGGUUGGGAUUCCUUUACUCAUGAACAGACCAGAGGUUGGGAUUCCUUUACUCAUGAACAGACCAGAGGCAGAGGGAUUCCUUUACUCAUGAACAGACCAGAGGUUGGGAUUCCUUUACUCAUGAACCGACCAGAGGUUGGGAUUCCUUUACUCAUGAACAGACCAGAGGCAGAGGUUGGGAUUCCUUUACUCAUGAACAGACCAGAGGUUGGGAUUCCUUUACUCAUGAACAGACCAGAGGCAGAGGUUGGGAUUCCUUUACUCAUGAACCGACCAGAGGCAGAGGUUGGGAUUCCUUUACUCAUGAACAGACCAGAGGCAGAGGGAUUCCUUUACUCAUGAACAGACCAGAGGUAGAGGGAUUCCUUUACUCAUGAACAGACCAGAGGUUGGGAUUCCUUUACUCAUGAACAGACCAGAGGCAGAGGUUGGGAUUCCUUUACUCAUGAACAGACCAGAGGCAGAGGUUGGGAUUCCUUUACUCAUGAACAGACCAGAGGUUGGGAUUCCUUUACUUGUGAACGUUUACUAAAACAGGUUUUCUUUCAAAAAUAACUUUCCAGUACAAGGUAACGUCCACAGUGUGUACACAUAUCUGCCUCUGUCAGGCCUGCAGCCUGUUUUAACCUGAGACAUUCAGUGCUUUAAUAACAGUGCUAUAAUUAGCCUAGCAUAGUUUAGCGCUAGCCAGUGUUAGUCGACACCCCAUUCAGCAUAGUGACUAAAACUGCUGUAGGGGCUUAGCGGUUAGCAUUAGCCAUUAGCUAGCUGUCAUGCUAAGCUAGUGACAGGGGGUAGAUACUUGACACCCCCUCCACCCCAUCUUGCAUUCUCACACACACAUACAUACAGGACAUAGUGUACACACACACACACACACACACACACUCUUAUACAUACUCACUCACUCACUCACUCACUCACUCACUC
Molecule: long non-coding RNA, 1027 nt
Organism: Oncorhynchus keta (chum salmon)
Lineage: Eukaryota; Metazoa; Chordata; Actinopteri; Salmoniformes; Salmonidae
Exons: 3
Source: RefSeq, a predicted model, not a curated record